UCUCCGUAGGUGAACCUGCGGAGGGAUCAUUACAGAGUUCAUGCCCUACCGGGUAGAUCUCCCCCUCUAUGUUAUUAUUACUUUGUUGCUUUGGCGGGCCGUUAGGCUCCGGCCCGACUACCGGCCCCGGCUGGUAAGCGCCCACCAGAGGACCCAAAACCCUGAAUAUUAGUGUCGUCUGAGUACUAUAUAAUAGUUAAAACUUUCAACAACGGAUCUCUUGGUUCUG
This 229-nucleotide unclassified non-coding RNA is filed under the name plant metagenome. RNAcentral describes it as "partial contains small subunit ribosomal RNA, internal transcribed spacer 1, and 5.8S ribosomal RNA". The record is from RNAcentral.